AUCUCUAGAGUAUCUACAGAUACAAAUUCUAACUACAAACUAUCUUCCAUUGUGAAUAUGGAUACCCAAAAAUAUUCUGCUGUGAAAUUUGCAAUCUUACUGAUUUUCGUUAUCAUUGCAUCAGAUAUGUGUAAGAUAUCAAAUGCAAGAGGUCCUAUUGUCUCACUUCACUGUCACCGUGAUGAAACUUGUGAAAGUCGUUAUCCAAAUCUUGGUUGCAAAUGUGUUGAGACUUGGUGCAAUUGUCCAGGAGAUCAUCCUCCAAAGUUAACCAAUAGUUUAUUACCGCCUGUGUUAACUACUUAGAUAAUGUGAUACAUGUACAAAGAAUAAAAAGAUGAUAAUACAAAAUUGCAUCUCAAUGUAUAUC
Vicia villosa (hairy vetch) is the source of this 370-nucleotide long non-coding RNA. RefSeq lists it as uncharacterized. Lineage: Eukaryota; Viridiplantae; Streptophyta; Magnoliopsida; Fabales; Fabaceae. The transcript has 2 exons. The record is from RefSeq and is a predicted model, not a curated record.